ACAAAAUGUAGAAGGUAUAUAAAUCCUCGUGCUUCAGGAUAUAAGCCUACCACUAACUGAUGGGGGUCAGGAAGAAACUUCUCCUAUGGGCAGAUCAUUUCUUCAGAUAAAGAAUAUUUCUUCUCCCAACCUGCCCUGCCUCACACCUACAGUACCCCGCAGCAACAAGAGAGCUCAGUGACGUGAAAAGAAUGGAACAUGACAACAGUGAAGACGACGACAGCGGAGACACCUCCAAAGAAAUG
Long non-coding RNA from Mauremys mutica (yellowpond turtle), 245 nucleotides. RefSeq lists it as uncharacterized. The transcript has 3 exons. The record is from RefSeq and is a predicted model, not a curated record. NCBI's taxonomy places the organism in Eukaryota, Metazoa, Chordata, Testudines, Geoemydidae.